AUUGAACGCUGGCGGCAUGCCUUACACAUGCAAGUCGAACGGCAGCAUGAUCUAGCUUGCUAGAUUGAUGGCGAGUGGCGAACGGGUGAGUAAUACAUCGGAACGUGCCCUGUAGUGGGGGAUAACUAGUCGAGAGAUUAGCUAAUACCGCAUAAUGCAGCGGCACCGCAAGGUGACAGUUGUUAGAGAUUUAUCGCUUAGAGAGGAGCUUGCGGCAGAUUAGCUAGUUGGUAAGGUAAUGGCUUACCAAGGCUACGAUCUGUAACCGGUCUUAGAGGACGGUCGGUCACACUGACACUGAAUAACGGGUCAGACUCCUACGGGAGGCAGCAGUCGGGAAUUUUGGGCAAUGGGCGAAAGCCUGACCCAGCAACGCCGCGUGAAGGAUGAAGUAUUUCGGUAUGUAAACUUCGAAAGAAUGGGAAGAAUAAAUGACGGUACCAUUUAUAAGGUCCGGCUAACUACGUGCCAGCCGCCGCGGUAA
RNAcentral lists this ribosomal RNA (484 nucleotides) under uncultured bacterium. RNAcentral describes it as "partial 16S ribosomal RNA". It matches the Rfam family "Bacterial small subunit ribosomal RNA", at positions 30 to 523 of the family's 1533-position model. The record is from RNAcentral.